UACGUAGGGUGCGAGCGUUAAUCGGAAUUACUGGGCGUAAAGUGUGCGCAGGCGGCCGCGCAAGUCGAGUGUGAAAGCCCCGAGCUUAACUUGGGAAUUGCGCUUGUGACUGGCGAGCUGGAGUGUGGCAGAGGGAGGUGGAAUUCCACGUGUAGCAGUGAAAUGCGUAGAGAUGUGGAGGAACACCGAUGGCGAAGGCAGCCUCCUGGGCCAGCACUGACGCUCAUGCACGAAAGCGUGGGGAGCAAACAGG
RNAcentral lists this ribosomal RNA (253 nucleotides) under uncultured bacterium. RNAcentral's name for it is "partial 16S ribosomal RNA". It matches the Rfam family "Bacterial small subunit ribosomal RNA", at positions 524 to 776 of the family's 1533-position model. The record is from RNAcentral.